This 3083-nucleotide small RNA is filed under the name Mytilus galloprovincialis (Mediterranean mussel). The record is from RNAcentral. Lineage: Eukaryota; Metazoa; Mollusca; Bivalvia; Mytilida; Mytilidae.
AUGGAAAUGAUAAAGUCAAGACAAAAGCUCAUAAAGUUAGCAGAUUCGUCAGACGCGGGAUGGCGAGUUGUCGACGAAUAUACCACAAAUCCUUUGGCAGAGAAUUCCGAAGAUGAAAAAAGAAUAUACAAGGCACAGAGUAGAGCCGAUUCAAAGAUAAAGAAGGAGAAGGCAAAACGCAAGACCGAUACUAGGCCAGCACCUUAUAAGACUAAAUCACUGGCUCCAGAGAAUCCGAUUCCAGUCAACACAAACAAGAUGUUUCGCCCUGGGAGAUGUUUCAAUUGUAGUGAAACUGGUCAUUGGAGGAGAGAGUGUCCUCAUGCUACAGUGCAGCAUACAAACAAGAUAAGUACUAAUAUGUUUUUAUGUAACGUUAGUAGUAGUUCGAGUACACCUUUGUAUACAAAACAAACGUUACGCAACACAACAUUCCUUAGCAAUACACAUACUACGAUUAAUAGUAAUCGUGUUCACUCAGGUAUAUCACCUGUAGGUAGUCUAUUAGAAAAUGUCAAUAACUGGACUAAGAUAGGCGCUAACGAACACGUUAUUAGUGUUAUACAGAAGGGGUAUGUGAUUCCUUUUUUAACAAUUCCAGAGAGUGUGGUAUUAGAAAAUAAUAAGUCGGCGUGCAACAAUAAGAUUUUUGUUGCGCAAGAAAUAGAAAAGUUGUUGAAAAAAGGGUGCAUAAGCAAAGUUAAUGAACAACCUCAUGUUAUAAACCCUCUAACAGUAGCUAAUAAUGGGUCAAAACUAAGAUUGGUAUUAGACGCCAGACAUAUAAAUCCACAUUUAUUUAAAUUUCGUCACAAAUACGAAGACGCGGUCACAGCUAGACAAAUGUUUAACAAAGAGGAUUACAUUUUUUCAUAUGAUUUGAAAAGUGCAUAUCAUCAUAUUAGAAUUGCACAUUCCGACACUACAUACCUUGGUUUCAAAUGGGGGAAUGCAUUGUACGUUUACAAUGUGUUACCAUUUGGCUUGGCAACAAGUGGUUAUAUUUUCAGUAAAGUAGUUCGAGAAGUCGUAAAACACUGGAGAAGUAAAGGGUUAAAAAUAGUUAUGUAUUUAGACGAUGGAUUAGGGGGAGGUUCUUCUUAUUCGGAGGCACUAACCGCUAGUGAUGCGAUUAGGAAUGAUUUAGACCAUUUUGGUUUCGAAAUAGCACAUGAAAAGUGUAAUUGGUCUCCAGUACAAAAACUGGAGUGGUUAGGUUUUAGUUGGUGUUUGGAACAGGGUGUACUGAAAAUCACUGAAAAAAGAUUGAACAAGUUAAAAAGAGCUUUGAGUGAUCUGUUACAGCAAUAUGAAAAGGGAAUGAAAUAUUUCAAAGUAAGGUCACUUGCUUGUAUUGUUGGACAGAUCAUUUCAACUCAGGCUGUUUCAGGGGAUCUUGCACGUUUAAGAUCUAGAUUUAUGUAUGAUUGCAUACUUACAAGAGAAUGCUGGAAUUCCAGCGUAGUGUUUAGUCUCGAAGCUGUAAAUGAAUGCAGGUUUUGGUUUAGAUAAUAUAGAAAAAAUAAACGAGAUAGGAUCUCAGUUAUGUCAGUUGACAUACAAUGAAGUACAAGACUUUCACGUCUUUUGUGACGCUUCAGAAACAGGUUUCGGGGGUCAUUUGACCACAGGUUCAGAGGACGAACCGAUAGAGAUAUACGGAAGUUGGUCUUCCACUGAAAGAGUAAAAAGCUCUACAUGGAGAGAACUUGAAUCAGUAAAAAGGGUUUUAAGAAAUCUUGUGAUCAAGUUGCACGGUGCGACUAUUAGAGUUUACACAGACAAUAAAAAUGUACCACACAUUAUGAAAGUCGGUAGUAAGAAAAAAGAAUUACACAGAAGCGUUAUGUCUGUUCAUAAAAUUUGUCAAGAUAACAAGAUCAAACUAAAUUUAGUAUGGAUACCACGCGAGCAUAACGAUAAAAGCAGACAGUCUUAGUAGGAAAUCAGAUUGUGAUGAUUGGGAAAUCGACGAUUGGAUUUUUACGUAUCUGAAUAAGUUAUGGGGUCCAUAUACUUUUGACCGCUUUGCACAAGAUUACAAUGCAAAAUGCAACAAAUUCAAUUCGAAAUUCUGGUGCACAGGAACAUCAGGCAUUAAUGCUUUUUCUGUGUCAUGGGAUGGCGAGAAUAAUUGGUUAGUUCCACCACCUCGUUUGGUCCCACAUACAAUUAACAAAAUGAUACAGGAUAAAGGUAGUCAUACUUUGAUUGUUCCUGAGUGGACAUCUGCCGCUUAUUGGCCAAUGUUAGUAGACCAAGAAGGUCGGUUUAAAUCUUUCAUAAGAGAUUACAGGUUUUUUCAAGGUGAGAGUCUCACAAAACGAGGAAGGGGUCAAAACGGUAUAUUUGGCUCGCAGUUCUUAAAAUUCAGAUUAGUUGCUAUAAAUGUUAAAUGAAAAACAUAGAUAUUUAUAAUUUUUAUUUUAUUAACAGGCAUCAGUUUAGAUCGUCAUGUAAAAGUCGCAAUAGAGGAUAGUGGAGUAGAAACAGGAAGCCAUUUGUAUAGUUUAUAUCCGAAGAUGUGUGAGUUAUUAUUGAACAGUAAAAGUGACAAUACAGUAAAGUCUUAUUUCUACGCUUUUAGAAGGUGGGAAAAAUUUAUUACAGAACAUGGACAAGAUGCUUUACCUGCACAACCGGUACACGUUGCUUUAUAUUUGACAAAUUUAUUGAACAAUGGAUCUACUAGUCAUCCCGUUUCUUAUGCUUUAUACGGUAUAAAAUGGGCCCAUGAAGUGAGUGGGUUACCAGAUCCUGCUAUAAACUCUUUCGUUACUUCCAUAGUUGAAGCUUCCAAAAGAACCACAACAAAAACCGCCAACAAAAAAGAUCCGGUUUCAGCAGAGAUACUAAUUGAACUAUGUACGCACUUUAAAGAUUCAGAUGAUUUACUCAUUAUUAGAGAUUUGACAAUGAUAUUACUAAGUUUUUCUGGUUUUCUAAGAUAUGAUGAAAUAAGUUCGUUAAGAUUUAAAGAUGUAGUUAUACAUGACAAUUAUUUGAUUUUGUAUAUUAACAAAAGUAAAUCGAUCAGUAUCGUCAAGGAAACGAAAUUCUCAUUUCGAAAGGUUUAUCCAUAG